Molecule: long non-coding RNA, 949 nt
Filed under: Homo sapiens (human)
Lineage: Eukaryota; Metazoa; Chordata; Mammalia; Primates; Hominidae
Description: HSALNT0327562
Source: RNAcentral
GGAUUAAUGGGUUAUCCAGGGUGUGGGACAGGUGGCUUUAUAAGAAGAGGAAAAGAGACCUGAGUUAGCACACUCAAACUCCUCACCAUGCGAUGCUCUGUGCCUCCUUGGGACUCUGCAGAGAGUCCCUACCAAUAAGAAGGCUCUCACCAGAUGUGGCCCCUCAACUUUGGACUGCUUAGCUUCCGUAACUGGAAAUGCCACAAGACUAGGCCGUGCAACAUUUCCGCAGUGCUCCUCGCUACAAAGACAUUCCCCUAAGGCUGGUGGGCAACUCAACACUCAGCUCAGUACGUGGUCAGCUCGUCCUCCAUAGGAGCCUUAUGCCUUGGUGAGGAGAUCUCUGAAGAAAUUGCUGAUGAAAGUCCAACAGGCUCUUCCAGUUUGUCUGGUCGGUCACAUUUGCUGAAACCUGGAGGAAUUGUUAGUGGAAGCUCAACAGGCCUGACUCAGUCUGACUGUCCAUUCUUCUGGAAGCUGCAGAGAAAAGAAACCUGGAAACCUUAUAUGCUGACAAAAAGGGACACAAUUGGAUAUGAUGGUUAUUUUACCAAGGUUUUGAAAUGUCGUGCUUUCAAAUAUAAACAGACUGCUUUAAGGAAUCGAAGUUGACUUAUAGAGCCAAUAAAAGCCCUGCAGGAAAGCUGGCCUCAUACUUUGUCUACACAGUCUCUGUACAGGUUUCCUGACCUGUGAGAUGGAGCUUAAUUUCCCUCCCCUUGAGUACUUGGUGACUUGCUCCUGGCAGAUAGAAAGUGAAAGAAAUGAUGGAAUGUCACAUCCAAGAUUAGAGGAGUGGAUACACCUACAAGAUUAGGAGACUACAGCUUCUGUGUUGGGUUCUCUCUUUCUUUUUCAUAUUCUCUCAUUCUGAUUUCUCAUUCUGGGGACCAGCUUCCAAGUUGUCUGAGGAGCCUUAUGAAGAGGCUCACGUGGUGAGGAACGGAAA